UGCAAAAGCUCCUUCUCUCCCUCUCAUAAACGACCUCUUCUCUCUCACUCACCCUCACCAUUGCAAAUUUUCAUUUCUCAUCCAUUCAAGCUAGGAUUUGUCUCUUUGGAACUAGGAACUUGCAAGGAAAUCACUCCUCUUAAGAUGACGGAGAGCCAAGCGAGACUGUGGGUCGUGUGGAUGGCGAGGACUUCGUAGAUUAUGCCGGAGAGUAGAUGUUAGCACUUGUUAGGCUACACUUUUGGUUAGGCUUAGGGCCUAGUUUGUAUUUUUUUGGAUGACUGUAUGUCUUAUACAUUUAUACUCAGACAUGUUUAGUGCCUUUUGGCCUUGUGAUAUAUUUGGUUCAUAACUCGUGUCUUUUGGUUGAUGAACUUAAUGUAUCCGCUGUAUGUAAAUUAUUCAGGUACACAUUUGCUUUUCGAAGCCCUUAAUACAAUCGUUUGAUAUUGUAUAUUAAAACUGUUGUAUGAUUUAAUGAUGA
Trifolium pratense (red clover) is the source of this 484-nucleotide long non-coding RNA. RefSeq lists it as uncharacterized. The record is from RefSeq and is a predicted model, not a curated record. NCBI's taxonomy places the organism in Eukaryota, Viridiplantae, Streptophyta, Magnoliopsida, Fabales, Fabaceae. The transcript is spliced from 2 exons.